Molecule: long non-coding RNA, 224 nt
Filed under: Elaeis guineensis (African oil palm)
Lineage: Eukaryota; Viridiplantae; Streptophyta; Magnoliopsida; Arecales; Arecaceae
Description: long non-coding RNA (EGUI_LNC010894)
Source: RNAcentral
UAACUCUAUUAUCUUCUUAAUUACACUCAUGUUAUUAUCUCCUAUUAAAAUAUAAAAAUAUUAUUAUUCCAUCUCAAUUAAAAAACAAAUUCAAACAUUGGUUCUAAAGCUCGAUCUAAUUUAAUAUAGAUUUGAAUUCUAAUAUUAUAAAAAUUAAUAAUCAGCCAAAUCGAAAAUCUAAUAAGACUAAGACUUGGAUACGUCAGAGGAGUAUGACAACGUUC